UACGAAGGGUGCUAGCGUUGUUCGGAAUCACUGGGCGUAAAGCGUUCGUAGGCGGUUUAGUAAGUCAAUUGUGAAAGCCCCAAGCUUAACUUGGGAACUGCAAUUGAUACUGCUUUUCUAGAAUAUGGUGGGGGAUAGUGGAAUUCCUAGUGUAGGGGUGAAAUCCGUAGAUAUUAGGAGGAAUACCGGUGGCGAAAGCGACUAUCUAUGCCAUUAUUGACGCUAAGGAACGAAAGCGUGGGGAGCAAACAGG
This 253-nucleotide ribosomal RNA is filed under the name uncultured bacterium. RNAcentral's name for it is "partial 16S ribosomal RNA". It matches the Rfam family "Bacterial small subunit ribosomal RNA", at positions 524 to 776 of the family's 1533-position model. The record is from RNAcentral.